GCUCUCGUGGUGUAGUGGCUAUCAUACUUUCUUAGGGUCCAGUACUGGUCUCUAAUCCUCUUCGGAUUCGUCUCCGUUCUCUAGCUAUGGAAGUGGUCCUGGGUUCAAAUCCCGGCGAGGGCC
RNAcentral lists this transfer RNA (123 nucleotides) under Apiotrichum porosum. RNAcentral's name for it is "tRNA-Pro". It matches the Rfam family "tRNA". From Rfam's summary of the family: Transfer RNA (tRNA) molecules are approximately 80 nucleotides in length. Lineage: Eukaryota; Fungi; Basidiomycota; Tremellomycetes; Trichosporonales; Trichosporonaceae. The record is from RNAcentral.